Molecule: ribosomal RNA, 873 nt
Rfam family: Eukaryotic large subunit ribosomal RNA
GAAUUGCCCUAGUAACGGCGAGUGAAGCGGCAACAGCUCAAAUUUGAAAUCUGGCGUCUUUGGCGUCCGAGUUGUAAUUUGCAGAGGGCGCUUUGGCAUUGGCAGCGGUCCAAGUUCCUUGGAACAGGACGUCACAGAGGGUGAGAAUCCCGUACGUGGUCGCUAGCCUUUACCGUGUAAAGCCCCUUCGACGAGUCGAGUUGUUUGGGAAUGCAGCUCUAAAUGGGAGGUAAAUUUCUUCUAAAGCUAAAUACUGGCCAGAGACCGAUAGCGCACAAGUAGAGUGAUCGAAAGAUGAAAAGCACUUUGGAAAGAGAGUUAAAAAGCACGUGAAAUUGUUGAAAGGGAAGCGCUUGCAGCCAGACUUGCCUGUAGUUGCUCAUCCGGGUUUUUACCCGGUGCACUCUUCUACGGGCAGGCCAGCAUCAGUUUGGGCGGUUGGAUAAAGGUCUCUGUCAUGUACCUCCUCUCGGGGAGAUCUUAUAGGGGAGACGACAUGCAACCAGCCUGGACUGAGGUCCGCGCAUCUGCUAGGAUGCUGGCGUAAUGGCUGUAAGCGGCCCGUCUUGAAACACGGACCAAGGAGUCUAACAUCUAUGCGAGUGUUUGGGUGUCAAGCCCGAACGCGUAAUGAAAGUGAACGGAGGUGGGAACCUUUCGGGGUGCACCAUCGACCGAUCCUGAUGUCUUCGGAUGGAUUUGAGUAAGAGCAUAGCUGUUGGGACCCGAAAGAUGGUGAACUAUGCUUGAAUAGGGUGAAGCCAGAGGAAACUCUGGUGGAGGCUCGCAGCGGUUCUGACGUGCAAAUCGAUCGUCAAAUUUGGGCAUAGGGGCGAAAGACUAAUCGAACUAUCUAGUAGCUGGUUCCUGCCG